AAAAGACUUAGUCCUAACCUUACUAUUGGUUUUUGCUAGACAUAUACAUGCAAGUAUCCGCAUUCCAGUGAAAAUGCCCCUAAAUCUUUUUCCCAAGCUAAAGGAGCAGGUAUCAGGCACACCCAUGAGUAGCCCAAAACACCUUGCUAAGCCACACCCCCACGGGUAUUCAGCAGUAAUUAACCUUAAGCAAUAAGUGUAAACUUGACUUAGCCAUAGCAACUCCCAGGGUUGGUUAAUCUUGUGCCAGCCACCGCGGUCAUACAAGAAACCCAAAUCAAUAGCCAUCCGGCGUAAAGAGUGGCCACAUGUUAUCUACAUCAACUAAGAUCAAAAUGGAACUAAGCCGUCAUAAGCCCAAGAUCCACCUAAGCCCAACCUAAAAAUCAUCUUAGACCUCAUGACCAAUUUCAACCCACGAAAGCCAGGGCACAAACUGAGAUUAGAUACCCCACUAUGCCUGGCCCUAAAUCUAGAUGCCCCGCAUACACCCUCAUCCGCCCGAGAACUACGAGCACAAACGCUUAAAACUCUAAGGACUUGGCGGUGCCUCAAACCCACCUAGAGGAGCCUGUUCUAUAAUCGAUAAUCCACGAUCUACCCAACCACCCCUUGCCAACACAGCCUACAUACCGCCGUCGCCAGCCCACCUCCAAUGAAAGAACAACAGUGAGCUCAAUAGUCUCCGCUAACAAGACAGGUCAAGGUAUAGCCCAUGGGGUGGAAGAAAUGGGCUACAUUUUCUAACAUAGAACACAACGGAAAAGAGCGUGAAACUCGCCCUUUAGAAGGAGGAUUUAGCAGUAAAGUAGGACCAUACCCACCUUCAAGCCUUCUUAAAGACGGCUCUGAGGCACGUACAUACCGCCCGUCACCCUCUUCACAAACCACCAAUACUUAUAAAUAAUUACCCCCCAGGUUAAAGACGAGGCAAGUCGUAACAAGGUAAGCGUACCGGAAGGUGCGCUUAGACCAC
RNAcentral lists this non-coding RNA (976 nucleotides) under Afropavo congensis (Congo peafowl). RNAcentral describes it as "12S ribosomal RNA". It matches the Rfam family "Bacterial small subunit ribosomal RNA". Lineage: Eukaryota; Metazoa; Chordata; Aves; Galliformes; Phasianidae. The record is from RNAcentral.